This 253-nucleotide ribosomal RNA is filed under the name uncultured bacterium. Its description in RNAcentral is "partial 16S ribosomal RNA". It matches the Rfam family "Bacterial small subunit ribosomal RNA", at positions 524 to 776 of the family's 1533-position model. The record is from RNAcentral.
UACAGAGGUGGCAAGCGUUGUUCGGAAUUACUGGGCGUAAAGGGCGCGUAGGCGGUCUUGUAAGUCUUGUGUGAAAUCCCUCGGCUUAACUGAGGAACUGCACGAGAUACUGCAAGACUUGAGAUCGGGAGAGGGAAGCGGAAUUCCGGGUGUAGCGGUGAAAUGCGUAGAUAUCUGGAGGAACACCGGUGGCGAAGGCGGCAUCCUGGACCGAUAUUGACGCUGAGGCGCGAAAGCCAGGGGAGCAAACGGG